GAUGAAGAACGUAGCGAAAUGCGAUAACUAAUGUGAAUUGCAGAAUUCCGUGAAUCAUCGAGUCUUUGAACGCACAUUGCGCCCCCUGGUAUUCCGGGGGGCAUGCCUGUCCGAGCGUCAUUGCUGCCCAUCAAGCACGGCUUGUGUGUUGGGUCCUCGUCCCCCCCGAGGGACGUGCCCGAAAGGCAGCGGCGGCACCGCGUCCGGUCCUCGAGCGUAUGGGGCUUUGUCACCCGCUCUGCAGGCCCGGCCGGCGCUGGCCGACGCGAAAGCAACCAUUUUUUCUCCAGGUUGACCUCGGAUCAGGUAGGGAUACCCGCUGAACUUAAGCAUAUCAAUAAGCGGAGGA
This 349-nucleotide unclassified non-coding RNA is filed under the name soil metagenome. Its description in RNAcentral is "partial contains 5.8S ribosomal RNA, internal transcribed spacer 2, and large subunit ribosomal RNA". The stretch from base 1 to 120 matches the Rfam family "5.8S ribosomal RNA", at positions 35 to 154 of the family's 154-position model. The record is from RNAcentral.